AUAUCUCAACUUCAAGAUUUUUUCUUGAAGCUUUGGAUGUGGAGGCUUAUGCUGGUGAAAUAACUGGCUCCUCUUAAAUGCAUUAGCGGAACUUGAUGAAUCGGCUUUGGUUUGAUAAUAAAUCUAUGCCAUCGCUGAGGAGUGACCUGUCUCUGCUUCUAACUGUCCUCUGGGACUGCCUUCUGGCAAUACUUUUUAA
RNAcentral lists this unclassified non-coding RNA (199 nucleotides) under Ramariopsis corniculata. RNAcentral's name for it is "partial internal transcribed spacer 2". Lineage: Eukaryota; Fungi; Basidiomycota; Agaricomycetes; Agaricales; Clavariaceae. The record is from RNAcentral.